RNAcentral lists this ribosomal RNA (528 nucleotides) under Meyerozyma guilliermondii. RNAcentral's name for it is "eukaryotic LSU rRNA". It matches the Rfam family "Eukaryotic large subunit ribosomal RNA", at positions 103 to 646 of the family's 3401-position model. The record is from RNAcentral. Lineage: Eukaryota; Fungi; Ascomycota; Pichiomycetes; Serinales; Debaryomycetaceae.
AAAAGCUCAAAUUUGAAAUCUGGCGCCUUCGGUGUCCGAGUUGUAAUUUGAAGAUUGUAACCUUGGGGUUGGCUCUUGUCUAUGUUUCUUGGAACAGGACGUCACAGAGGGUGAGAAUCCCGUGCGAUGAGAUGCCCAAUUCUAUGUAAGGUGCUUUCGAAGAGUCGAGUUGUUUGGGAAUGCAGCUCUAAGUGGGUGGUAAAUUCCAUCUAAAGCUAAAUAUUGGCGAGAGACCGAUAGCGAACAAGUACAGUGAUGGAAAGAUGAAAAGAACUUUGAAAAGAGAGUGAAAAAGUACGUGAAAUUGUUGAAAGGGAAGGGUUUGAGAUCAGACUCGAUAUUUUGUGAGCCUUGCCUUCGUGGCGGGGUGACCCGCAGCUUAUCGGGCCAGCAUCGGUUUGGGCGGUAGGAUAAUGGCGUAGGAAUGUGACUUUACUUCGGUGAAGUGUUAUAGCCUGCGUUGAUGCUGCCUGCCUAGACCGAGGACUGCGAUUUUAUCAAGGGAUGCUGGCAUAAUGAUCCCAAACC